GGAUACUUCAAAAUGUGCUAUACAGCUCUGCUUAUCAUACAACUCUUGUAGGUCAUAGCUCUAGCAGUGGGCAUAUACUUAUGCUGGCUUUACAACUCAUUUGAUAUGGAUGCCAGCACAUAGCACUUGACCCAACUAUCUUCAUCCGUCCACUUUUUAUAAGCUGUUCUUUGCUCAGUAGUAGGAUGGUUUGGUGAUACUAGGGGUUCCUGAUC
Molecule: long non-coding RNA, 215 nt
Filed under: Elaeis guineensis (African oil palm)
Lineage: Eukaryota; Viridiplantae; Streptophyta; Magnoliopsida; Arecales; Arecaceae
Description: long non-coding RNA (EGUI_LNC029388)
Source: RNAcentral